GUGCCCGUAGCUCAGCUGGAUAGAGCAACGGAUUUCUAAUCCGUAGGUCGCAGGUUCGAAUCCUGCCGGGCAUACCA
Molecule: transfer RNA, 77 nt
Filed under: Candidatus Babelota bacterium
Lineage: Bacteria
Also listed under: 1 other name
Description: Candidatus Dependentiae bacterium tRNA-Arg
Rfam family: tRNA
About the family: Transfer RNA (tRNA) molecules are approximately 80 nucleotides in length. Their secondary structure includes four short double-helical elements and three loops (D, anti-codon, and T loops). Further hydrogen bonds mediate the characteristic L-shaped molecular structure. tRNAs have two regions of fundamental functional importance: the anti-codon, which is responsible for specific mRNA codon recognition, and the 3' end, to which the tRNAs corresponding amino acid is attached (by aminoacyl-tRNA synthetases). tRNAs cope with the degeneracy of the genetic code in two manners: having more than one tRNA (with a specific anti-codon) for a particular amino acid; and 'wobble' base-pairing, i.e. permitting non-standard base-pairing at the 3rd anti-codon position.
Source: RNAcentral